Long non-coding RNA from Dermacentor andersoni, 600 nucleotides. RefSeq lists it as uncharacterized. The record is from RefSeq and is a predicted model, not a curated record. Lineage: Eukaryota; Metazoa; Arthropoda; Arachnida; Ixodida; Ixodidae.
UACUCUUUGCCCCUUUCAUAUAUGUUCCUCAUGGACUGGUUCUCCACGCAGUGGCCGCACCCGCGCCUUAUUAUGGCUACCUGUGCACAAUCACCGAGCCAGUGCGCAGCCAAACCUCGUACCUGCCUCCGGACAACGUUUGUGACUACCUGUUUUACGACUCACUCUACAAGAACGGCAAGAACUCCCUCAUUGCUGGCUUUAAUAAACUGGAAGGCGGCGUUCAGUACUUCAUUGGUCAGGCGUCCAAGUACAACAAGACGAAGUUCGGUUUCUCCUUCGCGCCCGAGAGCGUUCUCUUGAAGACAGACUACAAGGACCCUACAUUCUUCGCUUAUAUCGACGCCAUCUGGGGCUACAAUAUCUCCCAUUUCGGCUUCCUUGACCUCCACAGGCAAUUCGCAACCAAGUCAGUGGUCACAGAUGCCCUUUCAGUGCUCAAGGCCGUGUACCUGCACCUGAAACCGAAAAGCUCAGCAACAAGGCCUUCCUACUACGUGUUGGGCUUGUCUCUGGACACACCGAGUGACUAUUCCAUUGUGGGUUUGAUGAAGUGAGUCACACUAAAGAGGCCAUAUUAGGCCAUAUUUCGUGGCUGGC